CACGGGGGGAGCAAGCGUUGUUCGGAAUCACUGGGCGUAAAGGGCGUGUAGGCGGUUCGGUAAGUGGAAUGUGAAAUGCUCCGGCUCACCCGGAGUACUGCAUCCCAAACUGCCGGGCUUGAGUAUGGGAGAGGAUGAGGGAAUUCCUGGUGUAGCGGUGAAAUGCGUAGAUAUCAGGAGGAACACCGGUGGCGAAGGCGCUCAUCUGGCCCAAUACUGACGCUGAGGCGCGAAAGCUAGGGGAGCAAAC
This 250-nucleotide ribosomal RNA is filed under the name uncultured bacterium. Its description in RNAcentral is "partial 16S ribosomal RNA". It matches the Rfam family "Bacterial small subunit ribosomal RNA", at positions 524 to 773 of the family's 1533-position model. The record is from RNAcentral.